AGAGAUUUCUGCCAAAGAAAAAGCUUCUAACUUUUAACUUGAGUGGUUUAAUUCCAUUCAUUUCUC
RNAcentral lists this transfer RNA (66 nucleotides) under Paralithodes camtschaticus (red king crab). Its description in RNAcentral is "tRNA-Ser". Lineage: Eukaryota; Metazoa; Arthropoda; Malacostraca; Decapoda; Lithodidae. The record is from RNAcentral.